RNAcentral lists this ribosomal RNA (1103 nucleotides) under Microbacterium sp. RNAcentral describes it as "bacterial SSU rRNA". It matches the Rfam family "Bacterial small subunit ribosomal RNA", at positions 389 to 1499 of the family's 1533-position model. The record is from RNAcentral. Lineage: Bacteria; Bacillati; Actinomycetota; Actinomycetes; Micrococcales; Microbacteriaceae.
CAGCAACGCGCGUGAGGGAUGACGUCUUCAGGUGUAAACUCUUUUAGCUGGGAAGAAGGUCGAGUGACGUACUUGCAGAAAAAAGCGCCGGCUAACUACGUGCCAGCAGCCGCGGUAAUUACGUAUGGGGGCAAAAUCGUAUCAGGAAUUAUUGGGUCGUAAAGAGCUCGUAGGCUGGUUUGUCGCGUACUGCUGUGAAAUCCGGAGGCUCAACCUCCGGCUUGCAGUGGGUACGGGCAGACUAGAGUGCGGUAGGGGAGAUUGGAAUUCCUGGUGUAGCGGUGGAAUGCGCAGAUAUCAGGAGGAACACCGAUGGCGAAGGCAGAUCUCUGGGCCGUAACUGACGCUGAGGAGCGAAAGGGUGGCGAGCAAACAGGCUUAGAUACCCUGGUAGUCCACCCCGUAAACGUUGGGAACUAGUUGUGGGGUCCAUUCCACGGAUUCCGUGACGCAGCUAACGCAUUAAGUUCCCCGCCUGGGGAGUACGGCCGCAAGGCUAAAACUCAAAGGAAUUGACGGGGACCCGCACAAGCGGCGGAGCAUGCGGAUUAAUUCGAUGCAACGCGAAGAACCUUACCAAGGCUUGACAUAUACGAGAACGGGCCAGAAAUGGUCAACUCUUUGGACACUCGUAAACAGGUGGUGCAUGGUUGUCGUCAGCUCGUGUCGUGAGAUGUUGGGUUAAGUCCCGCAACGAGCGCAACCCUCGUUCUAUGUUGCCAGCACGUAAUGGUGGGAACUCAUGGGAUACUGCCGGGGUCAACUCGGAGGAAGGUGGGGAUGACGUCAAAUCAUCAUGCCCCUUAUGUCUUGGGCUUCACGCAUGCUACAAUGGCCGGUACAAAGGGCUGCAAUACCGUGAGGUGGAGCGAAUCCCAAAAAGCCGGUCCCAGUUCGGAUUGAGGUGUGCAACUCGACCUCAUGAAGUCGGAGUCGAUAGUAAUCGCAGAUCAGCAACGCUGCGGUGAAUACGUUCCCGGGUCUUGUACACACCGCCCGUCAAGUCAUGAAAGUCGGUAACACCUGAAGCCGGUGGCCUAACCCUUGUGGAGGGAGCCGUCGAAGGUGGGAUCGGUAAUUAGGACUAAGUCGAAUCAAGGGAC